This 313-nucleotide long non-coding RNA is filed under the name Rattus norvegicus (Norway rat). RNAcentral's name for it is "long non-coding RNA NONRATT005945". Lineage: Eukaryota; Metazoa; Chordata; Mammalia; Rodentia; Muridae. The record is from RNAcentral.
CCCCACGUCUCUUCUCCCCAGUAAACCCUGCGGCUUUGAGGCGACCUACCUGGAGCUGGCAAGCUCUUUGGAGGAGGAGUAUCCGGGCAUCGAGAUUGAGUCGCGACUCGGGGGGACAGGGGCCUUCGAGAUUGAGAUCAAUGGGCAGCUGGUGUUCUCCAAGCUGGAGAAUGGGGGUUUUCCUUAUGAGAAAGAUCUCAUGGAAGCUAUCCGAAGAGCCAGCAAUGGAGAACCCUUAGAAAAGAUCACCAACAGCCGGCCUCCCUGUGUCAUCCUGUGACUAAAAACGACUCUUGGAAGCUUGGUUCUGGGG